RNAcentral lists this non-coding RNA (23 nucleotides) under Xenopus tropicalis (tropical clawed frog). Lineage: Eukaryota; Metazoa; Chordata; Amphibia; Anura; Pipidae. RNAcentral also lists the same sequence under 3 other names. The record is from RNAcentral.
GACAUUUGGUGUAUGUGCUUGGC